Molecule: ribosomal RNA, 124 nt
Filed under: uncultured bacterium
Lineage: Bacteria
Description: partial 16S ribosomal RNA
Rfam family: Bacterial small subunit ribosomal RNA
Source: RNAcentral
CCUUGUACACACCGCCCGUCACACCAUGGGGGUCGGUAACACCCGAAGCCUGUAGUCUAACCCGCAAGGAGGACCGCAGUCGAAGGUGGGAUUGAUGACUGGGGUGAAGUCGUAACAAGGUAAC